RNAcentral lists this transfer RNA (76 nucleotides) under Candidatus Merdicola faecigallinarum. RNAcentral's name for it is "tRNA-Thr". It matches the Rfam family "tRNA". From Rfam's summary of the family: Transfer RNA (tRNA) molecules are approximately 80 nucleotides in length. Their secondary structure includes four short double-helical elements and three loops (D, anti-codon, and T loops). Further hydrogen bonds mediate the characteristic L-shaped molecular structure. tRNAs have two regions of fundamental functional importance: the anti-codon, which is responsible for specific mRNA codon recognition, and the 3' end, to which the tRNAs corresponding amino acid is attached (by aminoacyl-tRNA synthetases). tRNAs cope with the degeneracy of the genetic code in two manners: having more than one tRNA (with a specific anti-codon) for a particular amino acid; and 'wobble' base-pairing, i.e. permitting non-standard base-pairing at the 3rd anti-codon position. Lineage: Bacteria; Bacillati; Bacillota; Clostridia. The record is from RNAcentral.
GCUCUUGUAGCUCAGUUGGUAGAGCAACAGAUUCGUAACCUGUAGGUCGGCAGUUCAAUUCUGCCCAAGAGCUCCA